AGGAUAAUAGUUAAUAUAACAUUUAAUUUGCACUUAAAAAACAUUGGAAUAGACCAAUUUAUCUUA
Molecule: transfer RNA, 66 nt
Filed under: Elateroidea sp. 3 KM-2017
Lineage: Eukaryota; Metazoa; Arthropoda; Insecta; Coleoptera
Description: tRNA-Ala
Source: RNAcentral